This 2897-nucleotide ribosomal RNA is filed under the name Avibacterium paragallinarum. RNAcentral describes it as "23S ribosomal RNA". It matches the Rfam family "Bacterial large subunit ribosomal RNA". The record is from RNAcentral. Lineage: Bacteria; Pseudomonadati; Pseudomonadota; Gammaproteobacteria; Pasteurellales; Pasteurellaceae.
AGUUAAGUGAGAAAGCGUACAGGGCGGAUGCCUUGGCAAUCAGAGGCGAAGAAGGACGUGCUAAUCUGCGAAAAGCGUGGGUGAGUUGAUAAGAAGCGUUUAACCCACGAUGUCCGAAUGGGGAAACCCGAUAGGCGAAGAGCCUAUCAUUGCGAGGUGAAUAAAAUAGCCUCGUAAGGCGAACCGGGAGAACUGAAACAUCUAAGUACCCCGAGGAAAAGAAAUCAACCGAGAUUCUGUGAGUAGCGGCGAGCGAAAGCGGAGGAGCCAGUAAGUAAUAGCAGCAGAGAUAGAGGAAUUGUCUGGGAAGGCAAGCGACACAGGGUGAUAGCCCCGUACUUAAAAUCCAGGCUGUGGUACUAAGCUUACGAGAAGUAGGGCGGGACACGAGGAAUCCUGUCUGAAGAUGGGGGGACCAUCCUCCAAGGCUAAAUACUCCUGAUUGACCGAUAGUGAACCAGUACUGUGAAGGAAAGGCGAAAAGAACCCCGGUGAGGGGAGUGAAUAGAACCUGAAACCCUGUACGUACAAGCAGUGGGAGCCCGCAAGGGUGACUGCGUACCUUUGUAUAAUGGGUCAGCGACUUAUAUUUUGUAGCGAGGUUAACUGAAUAAGGGAGCCGAAGGGAAACCGAGUCUUAACUGGGCGAAGAGUUGCAAGGUAUAGACCCGAAACCCGGUGAUCUAGCCAUGGGCAGGUUGAAGGUUGGGUAACACUAACUGGAGGACCGAACCGACUAAUGUUGAAAAAUUAGCGGAUGACCUGUGGCUGGGGGUGAAAGGCCAAUCAAACCGGGAGAUAGCUGGUUCUCCCCGAAAUCUAUUUAGGUAGAGCCUUGUGUGAAUACCUUUGGGGGUAGAGCACUGUUUCGGCUAGGGGCCCAUCCCGGGUUACCAAACCGAUGCAAACUCCGAAUACCAAAGAGUAAUGCACAGGAGACACACGGCGGGUGCUAACGUCCGUCGUGGAGAGGGAAACAACCCAGACCGCCAGCUAAGGUCCCAAAAUCUAUAUUAAGUGGGAAACGAAGUGGGAAGGCUUAGACAGCUAGGAUGUUGGCUUAGAAGCAGCCACCAUUUAAAGAAAGCGUAAUAGCUCACUAGUCGAGUCGGCCUGCGCGGAAGAUGUAACGGGGCUAAAAUAUAGUACCGAAGCUGCGGCAUCAAUCGAAAGAUUGUUGGGUAGGGGAGCGUUGUGUAAGCGGAAGAAGGUGGUUCGAGAGGAUUGCUGGACGUAUCACAAGUGCGAAUGCUGACAUAAGUAACGAUAAAACGGGUGAAAAACCCGUUCGCCGGAAGACCAAGGGUUCCUGUCCAACGUUAAUCGGGGCAGGGUGAGUCGGCCCCUAAGGCGAGGCUGAAAAGCGUAGUCGAUGGGAAACGGGUUAAUAUUCCCGUACUUGGUAAAGCUGCGAUGUGGGGACGGAGAAGGUUAGGUUAUCGACCUGUUGGAGAUGGUCGUUUAAGUUGGUAGGUGGGUGAGUUAGGCAAAUCCGGCUCACCGUUAACACUGAGAGAUGAUGACGAGGCACUAAGGUGCUGAAGUAACUGAUACCACACUUCCAGGAAAAGCCACUAAGCUUCAGGCUUUACUAAACCGUACUGAAAACCGACACAGGUGGUCAGGUAGAGAAUACUCAGGCGCUUGAGAGAACUCGGGUGAAGGAACUAGGCAAAAUAGCACCGUAACUUCGGGAGAAGGUGCGCCGGCGUAGAUUGUAGUGACUUGCUCACGAAGGUUGAACCGGUCGAAGAUACCAGCUGGCUGCAACUGUUUAUUAAAAACACAGCACUCUGCAAACACGAAAGUGGACGUAUAGGGUGUGAUGCCUGCCCGGUGCUGGAAGGUUAAUUGAUGGUGUAAUCGAAAGAGAAGCUCCUGAUCGAAGCCCCAGUAAACGGCGGCCGUAACUAUAACGGUCCUAAGGUAGCGAAAUUCCUUGUCGGGUAAGUUCCGACCUGCACGAAUGGCAUAAUGAUGGCCAGGCUGUCUCCACCCGAGACUCAGUGAAAUUGAAAUCGCCGUGAAGAUGCGGUGUACCCGCGGCUAGACGGAAAGACCCCGUGAACCUUUACUAUAGCUUGACACUGAACCUUGAAUUUUGAUGUGUAGGAUAGGUGGGAGACUGUGAAGCGGUAACGCCAGUUAUCGUGGAGUCGUUGUUGAAAUACCACCCUUUAACGUUUGAUGUUCUAACGAAGCGCCUGAAACGGGUGUUCGGACAGUGUCUGGUGGGUAGUUUGACUGGGGCGGUCUCCUCCCAAAGUGUAACGGAGGAGCACGAAGGUUUGCUAAUGACGGUCGGACAUCGUCAGGUUAGUGCAAUGGUAUAAGCAAGCUUAACUGCGAGACAGACAAGUCGAGCAGGUGCGAAAGCAGGUCAUAGUGAUCCGGUGGUUCUGAAUGGAAGGGCCAUCGCUCAACGGAUAAAAGGUACUCCGGGGAUAACAGGCUGAUACCGCCCAAGAGUUCAUAUCGACGGCGGUGUUUGGCACCUCGAUGUCGGCUCAUCACAUCCUGGGGCUGAAGUAGGUCCCAAGGGUAUGGCUGUUCGCCAUUUAAAGUGGUACGCGAGCUGGGUUUAGAACGUCGUGAGACAGUUCGGUCCCUAUCUGCCGUGGGCGUUGGAGAAUUGAGAGGGGCUGCUCCUAGUACGAGAGGACCGGAGUGGACGCAUCACUGGUGUACCAGUUGUCUCGCCAGAGGCACAGCUGGGUAGCUAAAUGCGGAAGAGAUAAGUGCUGAAAGCAUCUAAGCACGAAACUUGCCUCAAGAUGAGUUCUCCCUGACUUAAAGUCAGUAAGGGUUGUUGGAGACGACGACGUAGAUAGGCUGGGUGUGUAAGCGGUGUGAGCCGUUGAGCUAACCAGUACUAAUUGCCCGAGAGGCUUAACUAU